This 466-nucleotide ribosomal RNA is filed under the name uncultured ammonia-oxidizing beta proteobacterium. Its description in RNAcentral is "bacterial SSU rRNA". It matches the Rfam family "Bacterial small subunit ribosomal RNA", at positions 198 to 645 of the family's 1533-position model. The record is from RNAcentral. Lineage: Bacteria; Pseudomonadati; Pseudomonadota; Betaproteobacteria.
GGAGGAAAGCAGGGGAUCGUAAGACCUUGCGCUUUUGGAGUGGCCGAUGCCUGAUUAGCUAGUUGGUGGGGUAAAGGCCUACCAAGGCGACGAUCAGUAGUUGGUCUGAGAGGACGACCAGCCACACUGGGACUGAGACACGGCCCAGACUCCUACGGGAGGCAGCAGUGGGGAAUUUUGGACAAUGGGCGAAAGCCUGGUCCAGCAAUGCCGCGUGAGUGAAGAAGGCCUUCGGGUUGUAAAGCUCUUUCAGUCGAGAAGAAAAGAUUGUGAUGAAUAAUCACAGUUCAUGACGGUAUCGACAGAAGAAGCACCGGCUAACUACGUGCCAGCAGCCGCGGUAAUACGUAGGGUGCAAGCGUUAAUCGGAAUUACUGGGCGUAAAGGGUGCGCAGGCGGCUUUGUAAGUCAGAUGUGAAAUCCCCGGGCUUAACCUGGGAAUUGCGUUUGAAACUACAAAGCUAGA